This is a long non-coding RNA of Prosopis cineraria, 1882 nucleotides long. RefSeq lists it as uncharacterized. The record is from RefSeq and is a predicted model, not a curated record. Lineage: Eukaryota; Viridiplantae; Streptophyta; Magnoliopsida; Fabales; Fabaceae. The transcript has 7 exons.
AAUCUCUUCCCAACCAAAUAGGGGUUAGUUUCAGUUCGACGACGCUCACAGCAUCACUCUCAGUUCAAGAAUAAAAUACAGCUAUAACAAUUUCAUCUCUCUUGGAUGAAACUCAGUUGUGGCUGCCUUGUCUCUGUUCCCUGUUCUCGUACUCGGCAUCCCUGGUUCUCUUCGUUUCAACUAGCACCGCUUGAGCAGUCUUCACUUCAAGAGCUUCCUUCUGUUCAAGCUUCUCUCUCGAGCUUCACAGCGUGGCAAUCUGCAUCUCUUUCCAUGGCUUCUCCAAACUGAGCUUCUACAAACUCUAUAAACAUCCUAGGAGGAAAACACAGUAACAAGUUUGAGGAGAUGGAGGAUUCAACCAAAGGCGAAGUAAAAAAUCCCAGACUUGAAGAUCUUCGUCAACAUCUCAUCCACCACAUGAUGAAUUUUCUCCCUUACUGGGACGCAACCAAGUUGAGUGUUUUAUCCAAAGCCUUUUACUCUUUAUGGCUUUCCUUUCCUGUACUUCGCUUUGACUACAAAUUCUUUCAAGUAGAGAAAGACCCACAUGACAACUUCAGGUCUUUCAUCCUCAAAACCUUCCACCUUAGUUGCCCUCCCAAGUCUUUACAAAGGUUAAGCGUAUUUUACAUUGAAGGGUGUUCUACCUUCAAUUUGGUAUUUGAUGCAUUGCUGAACUUUGCAAUAGAGAACAACACUAAAGACACAGCAUCAAUUGCCCAAGAUUGAAAUCAGUAGAUGUGAAGGAGUGCAAAAUGUAAGAGUUUCAUCUUUGUCUCUAGAGAGGGCAAGCUUCAGUCAUUGUUUAGAGUUAAAAGAAGUUCAAUUGAAGGCAAAGAAUCUAUGGUAUUGUUCUUUUUAUGACAUUCACAAGCCAUGUGAAAUUAACUUAUCUGAUUGUGAAUCCAUAAAAGAUAUGUAUCUAUAUGGUGUAAGUGUCACAAAGAACUUGAUGGAAUUAGUCACUGGGAGUUUGAUCAUCAGUGGCUACUGUGGCUUUCCUGAGAACCUGCGUAUUCAUAGCCCUAGAAUUAAAAAGUUGCAGCUGUUUAGAAAUGCUAAACUGAAGAACCAAUUUCUCUUGCUCCCAAUCUAGAAUAUUUUUACGUCAAUGUUUCUUUGGCAGUAUACAGUAUCUCUGAAUGUGUGGCUCUCAACGUCCUGGACUUGUAAGCAGUAACUGUAACUAAUGAGUGGGUGAAGAGUACAAUAUCAGACUUAGGUUGUCUGAAGGAAUUAACAUUAUGUCAUUCUCAUAUGUAGCUGAAAAAUGACAAGCUUGAGAAGUUGUCAUUGAGGGCAUGUUUCAAUUUGAAAGAGGUCAUUGUUGAUGCGCCAAACUUGCUAAGACUUCACUAUGAAGAAGAACGAAUAUUCAUGCAUGUUUAUCCGAUCGUGAAAAUCUUACCAACCAAAUGCAGUUCUGCCAAAAUCAAAUUACCACCUUGCAAACAAAUUAUAGAUACUCACUUAUGGUUGGUAAUAUUAUGCACUUUCUCUCUUGCUUUGAUCACAUCAAAGACCUUACUAUUUUGAGCUCCAACGCAAAGGAUUUGACCUUCCCAAGAAAGUUUGUGAGAAAUAAUACCACUCCAUUGCGUGAUCUGAAGCAUAUUAGAGCACAAACUAAAUAUGAUCCACGAAAUCAAGCUAUUAUGAUGAAAUUAGUGCAAAGUUUGUUUUGGUUGGCUCAUAAACCUUUGACAAUUACAAUCUCCCACUAUUCCCCUACUAGCACCUUGAAGUCCUAAUUACCAAUAAGUGCUGGCUACACUCUAAACUCAAAGUGUCCAAAGCCUCAUUGAAUCUAUGAGAAGCGACUUGGAAGAGUUAUUUGCUCCUUCAUUGGUUUUGAUUUCCUUUAUGUUUUAAACGUCAG